This is a long non-coding RNA of Numida meleagris (helmeted guineafowl), 10218 nucleotides long. RefSeq lists it as uncharacterized. The transcript has 5 exons. Lineage: Eukaryota; Metazoa; Chordata; Aves; Galliformes; Numididae. The record is from RefSeq and is a predicted model, not a curated record.
GUGCUCACUCUUGCAUGGCAUCCUCUUGGUACUUGGAGGUAUUUUCCACCUCCCGAGGCAGACAAUGGCAUAAAUUCCUUUCUUGGAACUAGCACAACUAAGAAAGGGAAUUAAGAAAACAGAUGGUGGAAGCUGACCAGUCAUAUCCCUGCUGCUGAAAUUCAACUGAUCAUCAAAAUGCUGCUGAAAAUUCUUGUGUUUUUAAAAUGCAUUUUCAAGGUGUGUAAAGCUGCUUUGCCACUCAGAUGUAACCUGAGCAUGAUGGGCUGUGACUGAAGGAGAAGAAAAGCAUGUGUGGCUGCUGCCAGUCUGGCCCCAGCACACUGGAGCACAUUAAUGCAGCUCUGACUGGGCAGGAUGCAUUUCUCUGGCUGAAGAGUCACAGGUGGGACUAGGAGUGUGGAGGAGGCUUGUUGGUGCCAAAACAUAAACUGCUUAAGAAUAGGGAGCGAAGCAUGGAUUGCGUGGUUCAAGACAGAUCCUGAGUGAUUUUGACAAGAACAAGGAAUAUUGAUUAUUCACCACUCACCACUCCUGGGUGCAUUAUGCACUGAGGCCACACAUUUACCAUGGCAGACCCAAGGCCACCUCACCACCUAUGACAGUCUAAUGAAUGUCAGCCAGUAUUUCAUGCAUUGCUUUCUUUAGAGAGAGUGACAGUCUGAUGAUACUCAGUUUCAUAAGCUGCUGUGUUUGGAACUGCUUCAUUUCCUACAGACAAGCCAAAUUCUUCCCACCUUCGGCAGAGCUUGUUCUUAGCUGCAGCAAUCAUGAUGAGAUUAUGACUUUUUGUCACUGUAUCCUAAAUGUAUCUGAGAGCCUCUGGAGUGGAAUUUGUUUCUCACCAAGCCAUGAGGAACAUUUUGCAAGUCAGUAUCAUUAAAAGCCAAGUCUUGAGGAUAAAUCUUCCCUCUAAGGUGUUCAUCGGUGGUCCUCUGGCAAUGAACUGGGAGUUAGAGGAAAGUCUCAGUGAUCAACCAUCUCCAACCUGUCACAGGCUGUAAGAAAAGCAGCAAAUCAAGUACUUGCAGAUUCCUUCAAUAUCCAGGCACUCAGUCCCUGCGGACAUGAAAAUUCAGAGUAUGAUUUUGCUGGCCCAGAGUUCAUACAAGAUCUCACUGAGAUCCGCACUUUAUAUUUCAUUCAGAAUGUUUUAUAUUUCACCUAGAAUAUUAACUUCAAGAUUCAGAAGAAAGGUGAAAAAAAGUUCACUGGAAAAAUGAUAAUGAAAACUGUUUUGGGUAAAGCAAAGUCAUAAGAAUUGUUAAUUCAUAAUGUAUCUGGUAGGUAUCACAUUUUUAAACUGCUCUUACUACCCACACUUUGAUAUAUAUAUACGAGAGAGAGAGAGAGAGAAUCACAGACACAAAUACACUUGAAAUUACUUUUUUCACUUGAAAAGUGAGGAUAUUGUGCAAGACAGUGUGUGAAGAAGAGCAAUUCCUCUACCAAAGAGCUGACAGUCUGAGGCCUUUGUCCAACAGCCACAUUGCCCUUGAUGCGGUUGAGUGUGCCUUGCGUAAAGCUAUAUCCUGUUGUAUAUUAGCAGGACAGAGCCCAGGAAAGCCAGUGGUUAUUACUGAUCAGUGCUAAUCACUAAUCUUUUUAUUCCUUGUAGAUACUGGGGAACCGUGUGUCGUGAGGAAAGAUGCAAGUGCUAGAGCCAGCUGGUUGUUUAAACAUAGGUUUUGCUCAAAAGUGACAGACCUUUCCAUUGAACUCCAUUUGUACAGGUCAACUCAGAACAAGCAAUAUGCAGAUGCACCUUACAGUGGACAAAAAACAGCAGGUAGGAUGAUGAUAUGCAUCAAGUUAUGUGAAGGCAAAACAUUGCUUUGGCUAUAAAAAUGGGUACUCCAAGUUUCCUUGGGAAAAUGGCCUUCCCUUCCUCCACUCUGUCACAUCCAGCUCCAAGAGAAUUGCUAGUAAAGACUGGAUCGUGGCAAUUAGCACAAUUCUGGUAAGAAGGAACUCUGAGAUCAGUCAUGAAGUGCACUUGAUCAAGUGUGACCUGUAUUAUCUCCAUUACAACUGUACAAUCUGCAUUAACAAGCCUCCCUGGAUGAGUAGUAGGACAGGAGAAAACAAAUGGUUUCUAGAGUAUCAGAGCUGUUUUGUGGGUGACCAGAACUCAAAUGGCAGGGAGUAGUUCUUUGCAUGCUUAUUUAAAUGCAAGUAAGAGCAAUCUAUGCCUAAAUUAGAUGUUUCUUUAUUUUUUCCCCAAUAUUUUUUGGGAAGAAUAUACAAAUAAAGAAAAGAAACAAAAAUGGCAUAUGGCAACUGUCAUGCCUGAGCUUGAAUUUUUGUUCCAUUUUGUACUUUGAAGGUUUUAACCAGCUCUGCACGUUUUUUUUUUACUAGUAAAUGGCUCCUACAGCCCUGCUGUUCUGCAGCAGUUCAUCAGUUUCAUGGGGUGCUGUGCAAAUUCAUGCAUUUGUUCUUGUCAUGAAUUUGCUGUGCAGUUUGCCUUCUUUCUUUGAUGUUCUCCAGGAGACCUGUAAGUUCUUUUCCAGGUAAUGAUCUACAACCAUAAAAUAGCUUUGAUAGUUUGCUGAAUCUACACUAGAGUUUAACUGCAUAAUUGUUGAUCAAUGUUUUUCCAACGUCUCUGGCCCUAACUAUCUCUUUUUCCCCCAGGGGAUGUAUUUAAUCAUCAAUACACCUGUAAUCACCUGUUUCUUAAAAGAGCUACCACAUAUUUCUUCUGUAAUAAAGGGCUCAGGUUGACUGAUGAUAUUCAUAAGAUAUCACCUCCAGUACAGACGCUUCAGGAAAGAUGAAGUGCUAGACCAAGGAAAGAGAAAUGAGAUAUAGAAAUACUAAUUGGGGAAUAUCUGCCAGAGAAAUAGCAUGGCAGAAAACAAGAUACUGUCAUAGAGAAUCAUGACAGUGAAAUACAUUCCAACAAUGUGAUGCCAAAAAUGGAAAAUAGUAUUAACCAAAAACAUCAUAUAUACCACAUGGGAGAUAAUUCUGCUGUUCUGCACCUCCUGUAGAGACUGCUGCAGAGGGCAUUUGUCAACUUCAUCACCACACUCUGAGGAGGCUGUAGGAAGAAAUUCAGUAAAUAAAACAUAUAAAGAGAGUUUGAAAACAAAUUAGUUUAAUUUAGAGCAAAUGAGAUUUCAGCUGAAAAUUAUCUUUUUUUCCCCUUCUUUUUGUUACAGAGUGGAGUGUAUUGGUUUGUUUGCAAAGUAAAAUAACAUUCCUAGUACUAAGAGCCAUGAAGUUCUCCAGCAGUGUUCUGGUAGGAAUAGUGAUGAUAAAUGAUAAAGCUCACUAUUUUUAUAAUGGACUUCAACUUCACAUUAUUCUUCUCCCUCAGUACUCCGUGACCUUUGCAAAGAGCAAAAGAGAAAAACAUUACUUAUUCAUUCCAAAAAGUUAAAGGCUUACCAAAGCAAGACCACAAUAAGCACUCUUCAGUCUUUUACUCUGAAUUGUAUCAGUACAAAUCAGAGGACUGAUUUUACAAAAUCUAUUCAUCUUUCUAUUUAAAUAUGAAUGUUUAUAAAUGCUCUGCUAAACUGUACCUUCAAAUUCCACACAAGUCUAUGGGCAAUGUUUGCUCCACAGGCAAUAAGAUAAAAUAUUAUGACCUUUUCUGAAUUCUGUGUCAUGUACAUUCUAUUGAAAUUUGUAUUCUACAAUUCUGUAUUAAGCAAAAUACAUUGUCCUCAAUGCAUGAAACAAUUUUCCUAAAGCAACCAUAGAUUUCCAUCCCUAUAAAGUCCUUGGCUGCUUUAUAUGGAGUUGUCUGCAUUUAAUCAGGGACAGGAAUAAUGGAAUUUUGCAAUCAAACGUUAUUUUCAGUACCUGCAGAAAUAGAGUUAUGUAGUAUUUACAGCGUCAGCCUUUCUUCUCUUCUUUGCCUCAGGCUGUCAUAAUGUGUGGCUGUCCCAAAGUGUUCCAGACAGAUGAAACUCUUUCUAGGGAGCAGCUUCUUGGUCCCUUUGUAAUAACCCAUUUUCUAUACGGUGCAUUUGGAAUUUAAUAUCGUCAGCAUGGUGUAAAGGAACCAAACUCGAAGUGGAAAUCUGAGAAGUUCUCAUAAGAUAAAACAAGGGCAUUUCCUUCUACUAGGCACUUCAUCUAUUUGCUAGGAGGUGUACCUGAAAGCAUUGCCCCGUGCUGGCCCAUGUAAUAGCUGCUACUCAAAGAGAUGGUUGCAUCCCUCCCCACUGCUUCACACUCUGCUUUUCCCCUGCCUCAGCUGUGUUGUUGCUGGCAUUCAGACAUUCUUGUGCACAUAAGGUCAGGGGCUGCUCUCCCUGAAAACUCAGUGAAAGGCAACAGCUCCUGCUACUUUCUUGGUCUCCUCCAUGCACGAGUGCAAGUGCCAGUGCAAAGCUGGAAGAAGCCACAUCUCCUCAGAUACAGGAAACAGGUGAGUUACAGCAUUCCAGCCCAUGUCUGCACCUAAGCUGGCCUAGAUGCAGCCCAAUCUGUCUGUUGGUACGCUGUGAGUUAUUAGGAUGAGAGUGGCAGACUUGCUCAAGGAAGCCUGAGCUCCUCCUGGCGUGUGUGAGGAACGUGAGGCUCAUGUUUUCUCUACAGUGAACAGGAGCUGGCAGCAAUUCUGCGGAGCCCCCCGAGGCUGCAAAGCUGUGACCACGUGCUGAUGUCCCAGAACACAGCACUGGUGGCCACCACUGCUGUACCAAAGAAGGAAACAUAGCUUAUGAAACAUAAUAUAUAUCGAGAUGCCCGUGUAUAAAACUUGAAUCUAUAAAAUACUUCCGUUAUUUGCCUUCUUGAUUCGCUUGUUCUUUUUAGUGGGUAAAUUCCUAAUGUGAUUUCUAGUUUCAGGAGGAAGGUAUUUCUAGAGCCAAAACAUUCUCUCAGAUUAUUUCUGUCCUUGUUCUCAUGUUUUGGUAACAGAAAUGGGAAGAAAGAAAAUUACAUCCUGACAGGCCUUGUGAAGUUACAAAUGAGGAAUCUGGUCUGAUGUAUGUGACAAGUGGUCUUGUUAAACAGCUUUCUCAAUCUCUUACUUUUUAUAAACACUGUUCUUUCCCUACUAGGCAAGAAAGCAGAAGCAAUUUCCCAUGAGUCCUCAUGUUAUGAAAAGGCCAAGCACCUUUUUAAGUUCCAGUGAACGUUAAGCUUUGUGAGUGAACUGCUGGUGUUCGGGUGGCUUUACGCUGAUUGCAUGCGCACCUUUCUCAGCGUGCUGACUACCAAAGAAACAAAUAUGAAUGUAACAUACGUGAAUUGCAUAUUUGGAAAAGUAUCCUUCCAGCUGCCUUGCUACCACUUUUCUAAGCUGAUCAGAACUGAGGUCCUGUUCUCAGGCUGGCUUCUCACACAGAACAGAAGUGCAGGACUAUGUGAAACUCUGAGGGUGCAGCACAGAUGUAUUCUUCGAGACCCCUGGAAAGAGAGGUGCAGCCAUACAAUGUGGGAUUCGUCUCUCAUGUGAAUCAUCCUUUAUCCUCUUCAUGCAUUGCUGCUUUAUGAAUCAUAUUGCUACUGCAAGAGAGCAUUGUGGUAUCCCUCCUUUCAUUCCCCACCACCAUUAUCACCUCUGGUUGGUACCCCUAGCCCAGCAUGGCUUGUUGUUACUGCAGAGGGACAGCGCUAACCUAUUCCUCUCCUUCUUUGUCUCCUCCUCAGCAAAUCUACUUUUGCAGUAAAAUGGCAUGACGCAAGACAGCAGUUAUUUAUAACAUCUGUGUGAAGGCAGUUUGACGAGGCUUGGGUAAAUAUAAAUCUGGAGAAGUACACCACACAGAUCUGUGCAUGACUGCUUUACAGAAAUCUGACCAAUUCUUCCCAAACUAGAUGUUUUCCUGGGUGUAAUAAGGACUGAUUGUGAACAAGAAUUGAAAAAAGCUUUCAUUUUGACCUAUUGCUUGAGGUUAUUCUGUGUCAGAUAUGAUAAAUUCACAGUAAACUGUACUCUCCAUGAUGUGAUAUUUAACACCAAGAAGUUCAGAGUUAAUACUUAAUUGUAUUAAUUCAGUACUGACUCAGAUAAAUCAGUAGAGCCAUUGUACAUUCGUGGACUUUUCUCUGGACAUACUUUGUUGGUUUUUUUUUGUCUCCUGAGUCCCAUCCAAGUGGAUUUUUGUUAAACACAACCUGUACAUGGAUUUUUCAUCAUCUACUCCCAGGAUUUUGUAGGCAAGGCGCUGAGAUGAGAAGGAGACUCAGCAGCGCUGGCAGCUGGGGAGGCUCAGGAAGCAAGGGGAAGGAAGGCAGAAAAAGCAGCUGGCUGGAGGAGAACUCACUGCUGUGAUGGUCACUGGAUCCAUCCUCCCAGAAUUCCUCUGUCCUCCUAGGGAUGCCUAUGUCCUUAUCGCUUUGUUACGCAGAUAUGGGUAUGGACGCACAGAUGCAAACAGCGUUGCUCCCCUACCAGCCCUUCUAGAAGGAUGUUCUCCUCUCUCCCCAGCUCCACUCUUUUAGCUUUUGGAAAUGUGACACCUAAAAAUAAGAAUGUUAAAUUCAGGUAAUCCAAAACUAUAGAAGUCUUUUUUACCCCAGUGUUAUCUGACAUGCUCUGUAUAUUUAAUGGCAAACAAUUGAAUAACAGUCAAUAUGAAAAUUUCCUUUCAACAAGCACAGAAAGUAUGCAGGGACUCCCCUUGCUCUCAUUAAUCCAUUAUGUUAUUUUUCAUUCUAAUAACAGACAAACCCCUAUGGCUGAAGAAAUGUCUUUGUAAUUUAUUCCAGCAAACAUUUCCCUUAUGAAAAAUUGCUAUAAUGUAAAUUUAUCGUUGGAGUGGGUGUAUAAUACUAUCAGUCAGAUGUUUAUCUCAGUAAUAGCACUGUGUUUCGUUAGUAAUGCUCUGUAACUACGUUGCUAUAACUGAAAUUACUAUCUGAAGCAGGAAUAGAAACGCUAUAUACAUGAAAUACUGAAAAAAUACUUCAAGAUACAUUCUUCAUCUGUUCAUAUGCUCAGUUAUAAGCACUUAAUUAAUAUUAGGUUUGGUAUUUACAUUCUCUGACUUGAAUAAAAGAGGGAGGAGAGAAAAAAUAUGUCUAUAUUUCUUUAAAGAAACCUGAGUAAAACUGAAAUGCUGUUGGUCAGCUUUGCAGCUUGUGAAAAAUCAAUGUCGCUUCCAUUACUCGACUGACUUCAACAUGCUGAUGUUGAUUUACAGUGGUGGGGAUCUACACAAUGGUUAAUAAGAAGAAUACCUUGGACUUUGGUAGUGUUUUUUAUCUGGAAAUUCUUAAUUGCUUGUCUGCGUCUUACUGUUGGUGAAGAUUAAGUGUUGCAUAAGUUAAUUUAGGACCUCAUAGACACUUCUAAUUCAUGAAAAAUACAAAUUUAAUCAGGUGAAUGUCUUGUUAAAAAGACUUAUUUCAUUUUCUUGGUUUUAUGUACAUGACACGAACAAGAGAAAUGCCUGGAGGCAGUUGAAAUCAUUGUUUGCAAUCAGUCCUUUCAAACAGUCUGAAAUGUAUCUGAAACUCAAAACCUGUUUUCAGUCCUGCUGUCAUGUUGCAGACAAGCUGUUUGAGGUCUAAAAUCUUGGCAAGACCCUUCACUGUGAGGGUGGUGAGACAUUGGAACAGGUUGCCCACCGAGAUUGUGGAUGCCCCCACCCCGGAAGCAUUCAAGGCCAGGCUGGAUGGGGCUUUGAGCAACGUGGUCUAGAGAGAGAUGUCCCUCCCUAUAGCAGGGGGUUGGAACUAGAUGAUCUUAAAGGUCCCUUCCAACCCAAGCCAUUCUAUGAUUCCGUGGUUCUAUCAUUCUAUAAAUACCCUCAACCCUUGGGGUUAUUUUGCUGCUACCCACUCUGUGCUCCCUUCAGUUUUCUGCAUGCUCUGAAGGCGGUGGUGGUCCAGACUUUCUUUUGCCAAGUAUCUUUUUUCUUCCCCGUCAAACUUUUCCUAAUUGCUUCUUGGGGCUCCGUAUUGCUUCUUUCACUCCACAGAGAUUUUUUGCAUGAUCUGUAGUGCAUUGUGGAUUCUAGUUCAGCGUUGCAAUGAGCACUCAGUGUGUCUGUCUGUGACCUGUAUGUCCAAUGGUACACACAAGCAGUCUACGUGUGCUCUGUGUGCAUAUGUUUACUACAAAUACACCUUCAGCCUUACUGCUGGAGGGCCUGGAGCAUGGUGCCACAGCAGCCGCAACUCUCUUGGGGUGCUGGACCCAGCAUGGUGGAUUUUCCUUUAUGAUUUAUGAUUUCCUAUCUUACUGCGUUCUUUUAACUAACAGAAUGACAUUUAACUUAAUUCUGGUGAAGGGAAAAAAGGUAUUUUGGCCUAUAAAUACCACUGAUCCUUCAGAUCUAUUAUCUGAUCAUCAGCACUGUCCUUUUUCAUUCAGGUAUAUCAUUCCAUUCUUACAACCUAUCAAUAUCAUUUAGGGCCAUGAUAACAAAAAGUUCCACUGAAUCCACUGGCUGACAAACAGCAGUGGCCCACGUUAUAUAUAUGUAGCUGAAAAACUCAUAAUCUCUUCUAAAAUGCUAGCACUCUGCAAUCUCCAGGAGUAGAAUUUUUUCCCCAGCAGUUAUCGAAGUCCCAGAUAUGGCACACUGGUACAAUGCUGUGCAUUUUUUGUGGGUGUCUGUGAUUCAAGAUUCAAGCUUCCAUUUUAAAUGGCUGAUAUGACAGGGUAGUGGCAUCCAUUUAAAAUACUUCCUGUGCCUUGACUGAUGCUGACCCACUUCAGCUGCUGAGGAAAGCAGUUUUUUUUAUAGAGUACUCGAUCAUAUCUAUUGCAAAACCCUGAAAUAUUGGAACCAGUAUUUCCCAUCCAUUAAAGUAGCUAUAGCACUGGGACUCUAGCUCAUGCUUAAGGUGCCCAAGUAUUUUAGUACUUUAAAUAACAAUGAUAUUAGAUAUUUUUAAAUCCAUAGGCUAUACUGCAUGACAGAUUUAUAGCAAAUUAUUCAAAUCUGAAAUACCAUAAAAGAUUCAUUGAAGUGCUAAUUAAAAGUCUUUAAAAUAAAUUUUGUUCAGUGUGCUCCCUGCAAUAUGUAAACACUAAAAUCCACACUCAAAAUCCCUCACUCCCUGUCCAAUAAUUGUGUUUGCAAUGAGUAUGAAAGAUGCAGAUCUUCAAAAGCUGUAAUUGCGCAUGUAAUACCAGAGUAAACAGGUGAUAUUCCUAUGCUUUAGAGCACAGAAAGUAAGUUAAAGUAACUCUGCAUAACUUUCAAUAGAAGUAUCCUGUUUUAGUACCCCUAUUUAUGUUUUGAAACUCAAUGUUGUGACACUUUUGUCUUGUUUGUGAAGUGAUCUUCAGGGAUUAGCGUGGUCAUCUGACUGAAGAGCCUUAGGAAUCCUCUCUGCAGAAUUCAGCCUACACCACCACUCUUCUUUGAUUGUGGUUAUUGGUUAUGGCUGAAUGCAGACAAAUGCCAUCAGACGGUGGCACACCGGGGUUGAAACAGGCUUCAAAGGCUCUUGAAUGUUAUGUUAUGGUCCUUUCUUUAGAUUUGCUCUGAAGAAUACACUGAGAUGUAUAAUAUUAACGUUUUGGAGGAGCACUCCUUCUGAAUAGCUCUGUUUUUUAAGAACCUGGGACAUGAGCCAGUGACAAGCAAACACUGGAAUUAUUCAGAAACUUAAGACAGGGAGUGCUGAUCAGACAGGAUCAGAUGUUGAAAGAAGCAGGGCUCUGUCAGGUACCUGGCACUGAGUGGUGUUUGAUACCGGGAUGCGAUGCCAAGAGUGGUGAUAGUAAUGAGGAAAAUAACCUCAGUGAAAGAUAGACCAACUACAGCGCUGCAGGAGAGGUGAAGUGCAGAGGACAGCUGGGAAAGGUUACAUUAAUGGAUGCCAGCAAAAAUGGGCUGAUUAGUCAGAAGGUAGCUUUAUUUUGGGUAAUAGUGUGUCUGAAGCAUUGCACGAUCUGAAUAUCUUCCAGUUAGCUCAUGCAGAAAAGGCUAAUUGUAUAACUUGGUAGAAGUGUGACAUUACAGCGUCUAAAAAUAAAACACAUGAAAAAAUAUAUGUUUGAGCCUUCAGGAGUACUCAAACUGCUUAAAUUUAGGCUUAUAAAUUAGGGAGGCAAAUUAGAGGGAUAGUCUUUGUAGAUUAUUAAUGGAAAGAGAGAAGAAGGAAUGGGCUGGAGAGGGAGUGGAAGCUCCUCCAAGAGCAAUUCAGAGCAGGAGCCUAAUUUAAAUGCUAUAGUUGCCCUCAUAAGGAAUUCCCCUCUCACUUCACUUAGUCAUCUGCAGUACGUAAAUAUCCUCCAAAGAGAACAGAAAGAGUUUAGAAAAACAGACACUGCAAUCAAAGGGAGAAGAG